AUGGAGUGGUUCUUUUUGCAACAUUUCUUUCUUGACAUGCACUAUCCAAUUCAUGCAUCAUAUGCCAUGCAUUUUGAUCACAAAAAUAUUUGGUUUUCCAUUUGAAUUUUGGAGGGAAAUUCCAAAUUCAAAAAUUAUGCAUUGUUUCCACUUUCCACCACUUGCCUUUGGUUCAAAACAGAGUUUGAAGUGAAUUGGAGCCAAAAAACGUGCAUUGUUCCAUUGGUCAUUACAUGUAUAAGGUGCAUUUGCAAAUUGAC
RNAcentral lists this long non-coding RNA (260 nucleotides) under Lathyrus oleraceus (garden pea). RNAcentral describes it as "Pisum sativum (pea) long non-coding RNA (PSAT_LNC036629)". The record is from RNAcentral. Lineage: Eukaryota; Viridiplantae; Streptophyta; Magnoliopsida; Fabales; Fabaceae.